This 460-nucleotide ribosomal RNA is filed under the name uncultured eukaryote. RNAcentral's name for it is "SSU rRNA". It matches the Rfam family "Eukaryotic small subunit ribosomal RNA", at positions 549 to 1023 of the family's 1831-position model. The record is from RNAcentral.
UGGAGGGCAAGUUCUGGUGCCAGCAGCCGCGGUAAUUCCCAGCUCCAGUAGCGUAUAUUAAAGUUGCUGCAGUUAAAAAAGCUCGUAGUUGAAUUUCUGUUUGUAAGAGUCGAAGCUUUACAGCUAAGAUUUCUUCGAACAUCUGUUUGCAAGCAUACGUUCGGCCUUCACUGGUUGGCUAUGUAAGCAAGCGCUUUUACCUUGAGAAAAUUGAGUGUUCCAGGCAGGCUUCAGCCGGAAUACAUUAGCAUGGAAUAAUGGAAUAGGACUGGGGACUAUUUAUUGGUUUGAGGCUCCAGUAAUGAUUAAUAGGAACAGUCGGGGGCAUUGGUACUUAACAGUCAGAGGUGAAAUUCUUGGAUUUGUUAAAGACUAACUAAUGCGAAAGCAUUUGCAAGCAUGUUUUCAUUAAUCAAGAACGAAAGUUAGGGGGAUCAAAGACGAUUAGAUACCGUCCUAG